ACCAUCUUUACGGCCAGUCAUUUUGACUCGCAGAUAAGGAUCGACAGAGAUCCAGAGGAUCUCAACGGCGAGAUGGCCAUCUGGGAUAUGAUCAUCGCCUAAUGAUAAAGUUAAAGUGCGCAGUUUUAGAUGAUCAGAGGUUGGAACACCUUGAGGUGCAUAGGCUGCCAUGAACCAUUCCUUGCUCUCCACAGUGCUAGUUUCUCUACCCAUUCUCUGAUCUCUCUCGCUCGUAAAUGCCUUUCGCCUUGUGAAAGAAAGG
This 262-nucleotide unclassified non-coding RNA is filed under the name Hevea brasiliensis (rubber tree). Lineage: Eukaryota; Viridiplantae; Streptophyta; Magnoliopsida; Malpighiales; Euphorbiaceae. The record is from RNAcentral.